GAUGAACGCUGGCGGCGUGCUUAACACAUGCAAGUCGAACGAUGAUCCCCAGCUUGCUGGGGGGAUUAGUGGCGAACGGGUGAGUAACACGUGAGUAACCUGCCCUUGACUCUGGGAUAAGCCUGGGAAACUGGGUCUAAUACCGGAUAUGACCUUCCAUCGCAUGGUGGUUGGUGGAAAGCUUUUGUGGUUUUGGAUGGACUCGCGGCCUAUCAGCUUGUUGGUGGGGUAAUGGCCUACCAAGGCGACGACGGGUAGCCGGCCUGAGAGGGUGACCGGCCACACUGGGACUGAGACACGGCCCAGACUCCUACGGGAGGCAGCAGUGGGGAAUAUUGCACAAUGGGCGCAAGCCUGAUGCAGCGACGCCGCGUGAGGGAUGACGGCCUUCGGGUUGUAAACCUCUUUCAGUAGGGAAGAAGCGUAAGUGACGGUACCUGCAGAAGAAGCGCCGGCUAACUACGUGCCAGCCGCCGCCGUAA
Molecule: ribosomal RNA, 482 nt
Filed under: uncultured bacterium
Lineage: Bacteria
Description: partial 16S ribosomal RNA
Rfam family: Bacterial small subunit ribosomal RNA
Source: RNAcentral